Long non-coding RNA from Dicentrarchus labrax (European seabass), 1577 nucleotides. RefSeq lists it as uncharacterized. The transcript has 2 exons. The record is from RefSeq and is a predicted model, not a curated record. NCBI's taxonomy places the organism in Eukaryota, Metazoa, Chordata, Actinopteri, Moronidae.
GCCAUGUUACCUGCUGUUACAGUAUCAAGCUUUCUCAUCAAAUUUUAAACAGACUUAAAAUAUUGCAGCUACAACAUUUCUUACAUUACGUCAUUAAUCGGUGAGUCUUCAGCUGACAGCCAUAAAGAACCAUACAUACAUUGCUCAGCAGUAAAUGUAUCUAAGAUAACAUAUACUGUAGGCAAACAUAAUAAGAAUUGUGUAAUAAAUUCCUAAAAAUGGAAGCAUAACAUCUGUUUGCUUGCAACCUUUAUUUAUACUCGAGAGAUCAUUGAUCUCAUCAUUGCUUACUGUCAGUCACUUGUACCAAUAUUUGCUUUUUUCGUUGUCAAUUAGUUUCCACCAGUGUAGGUCCAGCUGUGUGCAUUAUACCUGCAUGCACAGUUUAACACUGUAAGAGAAAAACAUUAACACCAAACAAGUUGUCAGUGAGAGAUCUGUAGUCCUCUCAAUGGUCGGCCAUUUUACAUAGUUGUAAAAAAAAAAAAAUCUAGCAGAAGCCGAGGGGCAAGGCUGCGGUGGGAGGUCUCAAUAAUGUGGCACAUGUACACACAGUGAUGGAAGUACAGUGUGAAUGCUUGAGCUGCACACAUGGAAGUUAACUGCUUUUAUUUUACUCACAGUCAUUAACUUUUUUUGUCAGAGUGGAGGAUGACAUUUCAAAACCAAACAGAAAUCAUAUCUGCAGCCACUCUACAAAUAUUCACUGUUUCUUGUUCAUUUCCUCUUCCUUGCUGGAUGUACUCUUUUACUGCAUGUUUUUGCUGAACAAGGCAAACACUGACACCAUGACCUACUGGUGCAGACACGCUGCUUCAAGUAGGAAACCCAGCUGAACUGAGACGACAUCACAUGACUACAUUAACAUUGUACCACCAAAUACCGGCAUAGGUCAGGUGCCGUAUUUGCCAGGAAGACACAUACCUAUAGAUACGAGCUUGUGCAGCCAGUCACCACAAGUUCGGAUCUACGGGUUUGUGGCAGCUGGCAUUACCCCUUCAAGAGCAAAUAAGGAAGACGAAACUCAGGAAACAUGGAAUCAGCAAGUCAAUCCGCUAUCUGAACCUGUAAACUGCACUCAUACAACAUCUAUACAUCUACAUCGUAUAUCUUCCAUUGUAUGUUAGAAGGUUUAGAAGUUCAGUCUAUUUUAACUUUUACCUUGUAAUAUCUGCGGAAUAAAUCCUUUUUGAUAGUGCGGAAAAAAACUGUUCAUGGCAGUAAACUGUUUCUUUUAUGUAUUUUUCAUUCAUAUUUGAUUAGACCUUUUCUGUGUGGCAAUAAAAGAUAUUUCCUGUUUGUGUAUCUAUAGAGUACAGCUUUGAAAUUAAGCCAUGGUACAAUGAACAGGCCAGAGCACAUGACUGUGAGAUGGACGUGGUGUUUGUGUAACCUACUGAUCACAUUCUUCUGAGGUCAACAUUUAUUUUUGAAAUGUCAGACAGAAUAAUACUGUAUGUUCUUUUAUAUGUGGACAUAAAAACAUGAAAUUCCAGCUAAAUGUGAAAAUAAAAUUCUGCUGUACAGUGCUGAGUUUUUUUAUGAAAUACCACAAUAUGAAUAAAAUGUCAGAAGAA